This is a non-coding RNA of Myotis lucifugus (little brown bat), 72 nucleotides long. The record is from Rfam. NCBI's taxonomy places the organism in Eukaryota, Metazoa, Chordata, Mammalia, Chiroptera, Vespertilionidae.
GCUGGUUUGGCUCAGUGAUUAGAGCAUCAGGCGGAGACUGAUGGGUCAUGGGUUUGAUUCCCAUCAAGGGCA